CUUUCCUACGGGAGGCAGCAGUCGGGAAUAUUGCGCAAUGGAGGAAACUCUGACGCAGUGACGCCGCGUAUAGGAAGAAGGUUUUCGGAUUGUAAACUAUUGUCGUUAGGGAAGAUACAAGACAGUACCUAAGGAGGAAGCCCCGGCUAACUAUGUGCCAGCAGCCGCGGAAAUACGUAGGGAGCGAGCGUUAUCCGGAAUUAUUGGGCGUAAAGGGUGCGUAGAUGGCAUAGUAAGUCUUUUGUAAAA
Molecule: ribosomal RNA, 249 nt
Filed under: uncultured bacterium
Lineage: Bacteria
Description: partial 16S ribosomal RNA
Rfam family: Bacterial small subunit ribosomal RNA
Source: RNAcentral